RNAcentral lists this ribosomal RNA (464 nucleotides) under Vreelandella stevensii. Its description in RNAcentral is "partial 16S ribosomal RNA". It matches the Rfam family "Bacterial small subunit ribosomal RNA", at positions 339 to 795 of the family's 1533-position model. Lineage: Bacteria; Pseudomonadati; Pseudomonadota; Gammaproteobacteria; Oceanospirillales; Halomonadaceae. The record is from RNAcentral.
CUACGGGUGGCUGCAGUGGGGAAUAUUGGACAAUGGGCGAAAGCCUGAUCCAGCCAUGCCGCGUGUGUGAAGAAGGCCUUCGGGUUGUAAAGCACUUUCAGUGGGGAAGAAAGCCUUGGGGCUAAUACCCUCGAGGAAGGACAUCACCCACAGAAGAAGCACCGGCUAACUCCGUGCCAGCAGCCGCGGUAAUACGGAGGGUGCGAGCGUUAAUCGGAAUUACUGGGCGUAAAGCGCGCGUAGGCGGUCUGAUAAGCCGGUUGUGAAAGCCCCGGGCUCAACCUGGGAACGGCAUCCGGAACUGUCAGGCUAGAGUGCAGGAGAGGAAGGUAGAAUUCCCGGUGUAGCGGUGAAAUGCGUAGAGAUCGGGAGGAAUACCAGUGGCGAAGGCGGCCUUCUGGACUGACACUGACGCUGAGGUGCGAAAGCGUGGGUAGCAAACAGGAUUAGAUCCCCCAGUAGUC